RNAcentral lists this ribosomal RNA (444 nucleotides) under uncultured bacterium. Its description in RNAcentral is "partial 16S ribosomal RNA". It matches the Rfam family "Bacterial small subunit ribosomal RNA", at positions 355 to 792 of the family's 1533-position model. The record is from RNAcentral.
UGGGGAAUUUUGGACAAUGGGCGAAAGCCUGAUCCAGCAAUGCCGCGUGUGUGAAGAAGGCCUUCGGGUUGUAAAGCACUUUUGUCCGGAAAGAAAUCCUUGGCUCUAAUACAGUCGGGGGAUACGGUACCGGAAGAAUAAGCACCGGCUAACUACGUGCCAGCAGCCGCGGUAAUACGUAGGGUGCAAGCGUUAAUCGGAAUUACUGGGCGUAAAGCGUGCGCAGGCGGUUUGCUAAGACCGAUGUGAAAUCCCCGGGCUCAACCUGGGAACUGCAUUGGUGAUUGGCAGGCUAGAGUAUGGCAGAGGGGGGUAGAAUUCCACGUGUAGCAGUGAAAUGCGUAGAGAUGUGGAGGAAUACCGAUGGCGAAGGCAGCCCCCUGGGCCAAUACUGACGCUCAUGCACGAAAGCGUGGGGAGCAAACAGGAUUAGAUACCCUGGUA